GAACCGCAUGGUUCGAAAUUGAAAGGCGGCUUCGGCUGUCACUUAUGGAUGGACCCGCGUCGCAUUAGCUAGUUGGUGAGGUAACGGCUCACCAAGGCAACGAUGCGUAGCCGACCUGAGAGGGUGAUCGGCCACACUGGGACUGAGACACGGCCCAGACUCCUACGGGAGGCAGCAGUAGGGAAUCUUCCGCAAUGGACGAAAGUCUGACGGAGCAACGCCGCGUGAGUGAUGAAGGCUUUCGGGUCGUAAAACUCUGUUGUUAGGGAAGAACAAGUGCUAGUUGAAUAAGCUGGCACCUUGACGGUACCUAACCAGAAAGCCACGGCUAACUACGUGCCAGCAGCCGCGGUAAUACGUAGGUGGCAAGCGUUAUCCGGAAUUAUUGGGCGUAAAGCGCGCGCAGGUGGUUUCUUAAGUCUGAUGUGAAAGCCCACGGCUCACCCGUGGAGGGUCAUUGGAAACUGGGAGACUUGAGUGCAGAAGAGGAAAGUGGAAUUCCAUGUGUAGCGGUGAAAUGCGUAGAGAUAUGGAGGAACACCAGUGGCGAACGCGACUUUCUGGUCUGUAACUGACACUGAGGCGCGAAAGCGUGGGGAGCACACAGGAUUAGAUACCCCUGGUAGUCCACGCCGUAAACGAUGAGUGCUAAGUGUUAGAGGGUUUUCCCGCCCCUUUUAGUGCUGAAUGUUAAACGCAU
RNAcentral lists this ribosomal RNA (700 nucleotides) under Bacillus sp. (in: firmicutes). RNAcentral's name for it is "bacterial SSU rRNA". It matches the Rfam family "Bacterial small subunit ribosomal RNA", at positions 183 to 860 of the family's 1533-position model. The record is from RNAcentral. Lineage: Bacteria; Bacillati; Bacillota; Bacilli; Caryophanales; Bacillaceae.